Molecule: ribosomal RNA, 465 nt
Filed under: Vreelandella stevensii
Lineage: Bacteria; Pseudomonadati; Pseudomonadota; Gammaproteobacteria; Oceanospirillales; Halomonadaceae
Description: partial 16S ribosomal RNA
Rfam family: Bacterial small subunit ribosomal RNA
Source: RNAcentral
CCUACGGGAGGCUGCAGUGGGGAAUAUUGGACAAUGGGGGCAACCCUGAUCCAGCCAUGCCGCGUGUGUGAAGAAGGCCCUCGGGUUGUAAAGCACUUUCAGUGAGGAAGAACGCCUGGUGGUUAAUACCCAUCAGGAAAGACAUCACUCACAGAAGAAGCACCGGCUAACUCCGUGCCAGCAGCCGCGGUAAUACGGAGGGUGCGAGCGUUAAUCGGAAUUACUGGGCGUAAAGCGCGCGUAGGUGGCUGGAUAAGCCGGUUGUGAAAGCCCCGGGCUCAACCUGGGAACGGCAUCCGGAACUGUCAAGCUAGAGUGCAGGAGAGGAAGGUAGAAUUCCCGGUGUAGCGGUGAAAUGCGUAGAGAUCGGGAGGAAUACCAGUGGCGAAGGCGGCCUUCUGGACUGAAACUGACACUGAGGUGCGAAAGCGUGGGUAGCAAACAGGAUUAGAUACCCUUGUAGUC